This is a long non-coding RNA of Tyto alba (common barn owl), 585 nucleotides long. RefSeq lists it as uncharacterized. NCBI's taxonomy places the organism in Eukaryota, Metazoa, Chordata, Aves, Strigiformes, Tytonidae. The transcript is spliced from 3 exons. The record is from RefSeq and is a predicted model, not a curated record.
AAGGGAGGAAGGCGCUGUGACGGACCUUCGCUAAGAUGGCCUCCGGCCGAAGUCAGCUGAGCGGGCGGCCCUAAGAUGGCUGCGCCCACGUCUCCUCCACCACCAUGGCUGCCGCCGGCUGUACGGCACGCAAGAUGGCGGCUCCCGGAGGAGGUAUGGCAAGAUGGAGGCUGCCUCAGCUAGCAGGCCCAGCAGCACCUGGAUUUGCCAGUGUCCCUCGCGAGGCUGCGACUCUCCAACACUGCAGCCAUGUUCUUCAUCUCCAAAACCCAUCAGUGCCCUGGAAAUCGGGUGCCGCUUCUGUGGGGCACGCAGACUGUGUGCUUCACAUUUCUCUAGGGACAGUCGCACACCAGGUGCUGUGGCCAGGAGGUCUUUUUUUUCUUUUUCUCUGAAACUACUAGGCAAUUAGAGAAGACCAUGACCCAAAGCCAUAUAUCACUAAAAUGAAGCCUUUGCUUUCCAGCACUGCCAAGCCGGCAUGUGUCAUGAGUGUAAAGUGUAAUUUAAACAUAAUGAAAUUAAAAAAUUCCUUUGCACAGAUGAUGUUAAAAUAACUUUUUUAAAUAAAAAAAGUUAAUACUU